VAAAGAAUAUUUUAGUUUAGAAUCCUAGCUUUGGGGGUUAGGGGUGGGAGUUAAAAUCUCCUUUCUUUGA
This 70-nucleotide transfer RNA is filed under the name Liparis bathyarcticus. RNAcentral's name for it is "tRNA-Pro". Lineage: Eukaryota; Metazoa; Chordata; Actinopteri; Perciformes; Liparidae. The record is from RNAcentral.